This is a non-coding RNA of Arachis ipaensis, 1164 nucleotides long. The record is from RefSeq and is a predicted model, not a curated record. Lineage: Eukaryota; Viridiplantae; Streptophyta; Magnoliopsida; Fabales; Fabaceae.
UGGAUUUGCAUUGUGUAAUUUAAUAAUUUCCAGUAUUCAAAGUAAUUAAAUCUUAUUAUCUAUAUGAAGGAAUGUGGUAUCAUUUAGCGAUGGACCUCCCAAUGAAGGCAGUGGCAUCCUAUACUUUUACUUGACAACUCUUGAUCCAACACUCCAACAGCAAGAAAUGCAUUAAAAGAUGAAAGAGCCUCGUUCACAGUUAAUGAAUACCCUCUCGGGACCUGCGGUAACCUUGACCCAGAGAACACUACGUGUUCAAAAAUUACUCUAACUGGAUAGCUUAAAUUGGUUGAUGAUUCCGAGGAAGCCGAAUUUGCAAGAAUUUCCUUGUUUUCCAAGCACUGAGAUGCAGGAUAAUACCUGAAAAUCAUUAAAUUAGAUUAGAAUCCUAUGUGUUUUAUGUAGGAUAUUUGACUAGUUGCAAAUUUUCAAUGACCAGCUUUCUCCUCAUUAUAUAUUUGAUUCUUGCUAAAAAAAACUUAUUUCUGCUAUUUUAAUUUUGGUAUUCUUUAACAGGUUGAACUGAGGGUCACAACUUUCAAGUCUUCAAAUUAGAAAUAGAAGAUAUAUUUCUAAUCGAUUGGUAUGGCGGUCCUAAACCUCUCAGUGUGGACGAGUACCUGCAUCCCAAAAUGUAGGUACUGCAGCAGAAAUAAUUUCCUUUAAAUGGCAAUGAUAUAACAUGAUAACCCCCCACCCUAAACAGUAACAAAUGAAUAAAAGUUUUAUGCCAUUUACGAAAUUCUCAUCUAUGAUUUCGUAAUUAAUUUUUAUUCAAUUAUGGUGGGUUAUGUCAUCCACAGGAACAGUUUUGGCUUCAUUGUGUGAAUGCUCUUCUAAGUCAUUUCUAUUUUGGGCUAUCUGCAAAUGCACAUAUUCAUUGGAGCUAUUGUAAAUAUAAGAUAAGUUGUAUAUGUUGUUUCAAAUCUUUGCAUUCCUUCCCAAAUACUCUUGUAUUCUUGUACCAUCGCUAUAUAUCCCUUUGCCAUUUGAGAUGCUUCUCCAAGCAUCGUAAUGUUGAAGAGGAAACAGCGUAAGCUACUGCGGUUAACCCUCUACUUUUAGCUUUUUAUAUAGACAAGCAAAUUGUGUAUACUUGACCAGUGUGGCUAUUAAAUAUGAACAUAUGUUGCAAUGGUUCAGUGUGCCCUAUUUUAUUCGACC